UACGUAGGGCGCAGGCGUUAAUCGGAAUUACUGGGCGUAAAGCGUGCGCAGGCGGUUUGCUAAGAGAGAUGUGAAAUCCCCGGGCUUAACCUGGGAACUGCGUUUCUAACUGGCAGGCUUGAGUGUGGCAGAGGGGGGUGGAAUUCCACGUGUAGCAGUGAAAUGCGUAGAGAUGUGGAGGAACACCGAUGGCGAAGGCAGCCCCCUGGGCUAACACUGACGCUCAUGCACGAAAGCGUGGGGAGCAAACAGG
RNAcentral lists this ribosomal RNA (253 nucleotides) under uncultured bacterium. RNAcentral's name for it is "partial 16S ribosomal RNA". It matches the Rfam family "Bacterial small subunit ribosomal RNA", at positions 524 to 776 of the family's 1533-position model. The record is from RNAcentral.